GUAGGGUGCAAGCGUUAAUCGGAAUUACUGGGCGUAAAGCGUGCGCAGGCGGCUAUGCAAGACAGAUGUGAAAUCCCCGGGCUCAACCUGGGAACUGCAUUUGUGACUGCAUGGCUAGAGUACGGUAGAGGGGGAUGGAAUUCCGCGUGUAGCAGUGAAAUGCGUAGAUAUGCGGAGGAACACCGAUGGCGAAGGCAAUCCCCUGGACCUGUACUGACGCUCAUGCACGAAAGCGUGGGGAGCAAACAGGAUUAGAUACCCUGGUAGUCCACGCCCUAAACGAUGUCAACUGGUUGUUGGACGGCUUGCUGUUCAGUAACGAAGCUAACGCGUGAAGUUGACCGCCUGGGGAGUACGGCCGCAAGGUUG
RNAcentral lists this ribosomal RNA (369 nucleotides) under uncultured bacterium. Its description in RNAcentral is "bacterial SSU rRNA". It matches the Rfam family "Bacterial small subunit ribosomal RNA", at positions 527 to 896 of the family's 1533-position model. RNAcentral also lists the same sequence under 1 other name. The record is from RNAcentral.